AUACUGUGUCGACCGCCAAAUUCUCUUUCUUCUGGGACAUGUGCAGCUCUGAAACUCUCUUAGUAGUGUUUUUGUUGCAUGGUUCCAUGGGUAAAUGACGGCAUGAAGGAUUUCGAGCUGACACCCUAAUAAUCCCGCCAUCCGUUCCUGCUGGCUACAAAGCUGCCCUGCUAUGAGGAGCAUUUCCUGCUCCCCCAGCAGCCGUGGUCUCAGGAAGACGCUUAUGGAACAGACACAGUUUGUUCUGGUUUACCAGGGAAGCUGAGCAGGGGGCAAAUAAAUCUAAUGGUUAAAAGAGGAAGCUA
Long non-coding RNA from Carassius gibelio (silver crucian carp), 305 nucleotides. RefSeq lists it as uncharacterized. The record is from RefSeq and is a predicted model, not a curated record. NCBI's taxonomy places the organism in Eukaryota, Metazoa, Chordata, Actinopteri, Cypriniformes, Cyprinidae. The transcript is spliced from 3 exons.